RNAcentral lists this ribosomal RNA (874 nucleotides) under uncultured soil bacterium. RNAcentral's name for it is "bacterial SSU rRNA". It matches the Rfam family "Bacterial small subunit ribosomal RNA", at positions 55 to 925 of the family's 1533-position model. The record is from RNAcentral.
AUGCAGUCGAGCGGUAGAGAGGUGCUUGCACCUCUUGAGAGCGGCGGACGGGUGAGUAAAGCCUAGGAAUCUGCCUGGUAGUGGGGGAUAACGCUCGGAAACGGACGCUAAUACCGCAUACGUCCUACGGGAGAAAGCAGGGGACCUUCGGGCCUUGCGCUAUCAGAUGAGCCUAGGUCGGAUUAGCUAGUUGGUGAGGUAAUGGCUCACCAAGGCGACGAUCCGUAACUGGUCUGAGAGGAUGAUCAGUCACACUGGAACUGAGACACGGUCCAGACUCCUACGGGAGGCAGCAGUGGGGAAUAUUGGACAAUGGGCGAAAGCCUGAUCCAGCCAUGCCGCGUGUGUGAAGAAGGUCUUCGGAUUGUAAAGCACUUUAAGUUGGGAGGAAGGGCAUUAACCUAAUACGUUAGUGUUUUGACGUUACCGACAGAAUAAGCACCGGCUAACUCUGUGCCAGCAGCCGCGGUAAUACAGAGGGUGCAAGCGUUAAUCGGAAUUACUGGGCGUAAAGCGCGCAUAGGUGGUUCGUUAAGUUGGAUGUGAAAUCCCCGGGCUCAACCUGGGAACUGCAUUCAAAACUGUCGAGCUAGAGUAUGGUAGAGGGUGGUGGAAUUUCCUGUGUAGCGGUGAAAUGCGUAGAUAUAGGAAGGAACACCAGUGGCGAAGGCGACCACCUGGACUGAUACUGACACUGAGGUGCGAAAGCGUGGGGAGCAAACAGGAUUAGAUACCCUGGUAGUCCACGCCGUAAACGAUGUCAACUAGCCGUUGGGAGCCUUGAGCUCUUAGUGGCGCAGCUAACGCAUUAAGUUGACCGCCUGGGGAGUACGGCCGCAAGGUUAAAACUCAAAUGAAUUGACGGGGGCCCGCA